GACGAACGCUGGCGGCGUGCUUAACACAUGCAAGUCGAACGGAAAGGCCCUGCUUUUGUGGGGUGCUCGAGUGGCGAACGGGUGAGUAACACGUGAGUAACCUGCCCUUGACUUUGGGAUAACUUCAGGAAACUGGGGCUCUUCCGGCAAAGGAUUUAUCGCGCCUGGUGGGGGGUUGGAAGGUUUCGCGGGUGGGGAAUGGAAUCGCGGCUUAUGAGCUUGUUGGUGGGGUGGUGGCUUACCAAGGCUUUGACGGGUGGCCGGCCUGAGAGGGUGAGCGGCCACAUCGGGACUGAGAUACGGCCCAGACUCCUACGGGAGGCAGCAGUGGGGAAGAUUGCACAAUGGGCUGAAGCCUGGUGCAGCAACGCCGCGUGCGGGAUGACGGCCUUCGGGUUGUGAACCGCUUUCGCCUGUGACGAAGCGUGAGUGACGGUAAUGGGUAAAGAAGCACCGGCUAACUACGUG
RNAcentral lists this ribosomal RNA (468 nucleotides) under uncultured bacterium. Its description in RNAcentral is "partial 16S ribosomal RNA". It matches the Rfam family "Bacterial small subunit ribosomal RNA", at positions 28 to 507 of the family's 1533-position model. The record is from RNAcentral.